AUGGCUCAGAUUGAACGCUGGCGGCAGGCCUAACACAUGCAAGUCGAGCGGAUGACGGGAGCUUGCUCCUUGAUUCAGCGGCGGACGGGUGAGUAAUGCCUAGGAAUCUGCCUGGUAGUGGGGGACAACGUUUCGAAAGGAACGCUAAUACCGCAUACGUCCUACGGGAGAAAGCAGGGGACCUUCGGGCCUUGCGCUAUCAGAUGAGCCUAGGUCGGAUUAGCUAGUUGGUGGGGUAAUGGCUCACCAAGGCGACGAUCCGUAACUGGUCUGAGAGGAUGAUCAGUCACACUGGAACUGAGACACGGUCCAGACUCCUACGGGAGGCAGCAGUGGGGAAUAUUGGACAAUGGGCGAAAGCCUGAUCCAGCCAUGCCGCGUGUGUGAAGAAGGUCUUCGGAUUGUAAAGCACUUUAAGUUGGGAGGAAGGGCAGUAAGRUAAUACCUUGCUGUUUUGACGUUACCGACAGAAUAAGCACCGGCUAACUCUGUGCCAGCAGCCGCGGUAAUACAGAGGGUGCAAGCGUUAAUCGGAAUUACUGGGCGUAAAGCGCGCGUAGGUGGUUUGUUAAGUUGGAUGUGAAAGCCCCGGGCUCAACCUGGGAACUGCAUCCAAAACUGGCAAGCUAGAGUACGGUAGAGGGUGGUGGAAUUUCCUGUGUAGCGGUGAAAUGCGUAGAUAUAGGAAGGAACACCAGUGGCGAAGGCGACCACCUGGACUGAUACUGACACUGAG
RNAcentral lists this ribosomal RNA (736 nucleotides) under uncultured Pseudomonas sp. RNAcentral describes it as "bacterial SSU rRNA". It matches the Rfam family "Bacterial small subunit ribosomal RNA", at positions 19 to 750 of the family's 1533-position model. The record is from RNAcentral. Lineage: Bacteria; Pseudomonadati; Pseudomonadota; Gammaproteobacteria; Pseudomonadales; Pseudomonadaceae.